GAGGCUUUUGUUCUGCUGGCCAUGCUGUGUCACUGAGCUUCUGGUUCACCUUCCUUUGCAGAGCCACCUACCCUUGCUGUUCCCUCUGUAUCACUCAGCAGUGACUUUCUUCACUAACUUCAUAUUUAUUUGGUUGGGAAAAUACAUGGAACCCACAGCUGACCUUAUUCUGCUUCAGAUCAGUGGUUACUAUCACAUAUAAUUGCUUUAAGUAGAAGAGUUCCACAGAGGAUGCGAAUCAAGCCCUGCAAGAAGGGUGAAACACAGGGUUUUGAUAUUUCUCUGAACAGUUUCAGAAUUUUAUGAGUGCAAUGUAGGAACAAAAAACAGUACAGAAAAAACUGUACUCAGCCUACUGUGAAUCUGUGUUAUAGUGUCCUUGCUAUUUAGUCUGGAAUUUUACAGGCAAAAUGAAUUCUUAUGGCAUCAGUUUUCAAAGAGCAUUUUAAUUGUUCAUCAUUAGAUGUAAAAAAUCAUAUAUUAAACACAAACUUCAAUUUUUUUUUGAUAUGUCUGUAGGGAAAAAAAAACAAAAACAAAAUACGAAGCUUUCGUCUGAAUGAUAUAUUGUCAUAACGUUUUAGUGUCUGCCACAUACUUGGAAUGUUAUGAAGGCUGAAUGCUCAGAGUGUCAACUAUUGUUUUGAAAUAUGUGUAUAAUAUAUAAUUAAGAAAUUGCAUUUUUUUUAAAUCAACAUAUUAGCUUAAUAUUCCAUGUAUGACUCAGAUGUUCAGAAACACUACUAGCUAUAACUGAAUUCUACCCCUUCUAAUGGUUCAUUGCCCAUUACUCUGACUUGAUUAUGAGUCUAAUAUACACAUAAGUGCUUAUUAUGUGCAUCUUUGGAAGAUUCUGCUUUAUACCUUAUUCAAAUUACUGUCAGACUGAACAAGCAUUACAAUCCUGUUAGAAAUUAGAUUUCUACUUAUUUUCUUCAUUUGUUUAUAUUGUUUUUAAAUUGGCAAUGAUAUUACUAGCUACAGUGGUUAGUUGUUUAUGAAACUGCAUUAAAACAGGGCUGAAAAGGUAGAGUUUUUAGUCUUUUUUUGUCUGGCUGGACAUCUGGUGUCCAUUAACAACCAAACAUUGUGAUGGGUUAUUCAUCUGUGCUGAUAUUGCACAAAGGAUUUUGCCACCUGUUCGAUUUUUAUUUACUGCUUUAUUUAGAGAGAGCUUAUAUACUUUCGAGUUAAAUGUGAAGGACAUAAUAUCAAAAUGUGUAUUUCAGCA
This is a long non-coding RNA of Gallus gallus (chicken), 1231 nucleotides long. The record is from Ensembl. NCBI's taxonomy places the organism in Eukaryota, Metazoa, Chordata, Aves, Galliformes, Phasianidae.